Molecule: RNA transcript, 1722 nt
Organism: Cavia porcellus (domestic guinea pig)
Lineage: Eukaryota; Metazoa; Chordata; Mammalia; Rodentia; Caviidae
Gene: Slc25a26
Gene name: solute carrier family 25 member 26
Exons: 11
Source: RefSeq, a predicted model, not a curated record
GUAGUCAUCAUGGGCCCCGCCCCAAAGAUGGUGGCGCCUGGAGCGCGGGGCCGUGACUGAUUCAGUGUCUGCUCCGUUUCUGAUGGUAACCUUGACCGGCUCUGCGGGGAGAUGAACCAGCCGGGGUUCAUGGUCUCGCUGGUGGCUGGUGGGGUGGCAGGUGCCUCUGUUGACCUGAUACUAUUUCCUCUGGAUACCAUUAAAACCAGGCUUCAGAGUCCACAAGGAUUUAAAAAGGCUGGUGGUUUUCGUGGCAUAUAUGCUGGUGUACCGUCUACUGCUAUUGGAUCUUUUCCUAAUGCUGCUGCAUUUUUCCUCACCUAUGAAUAUGUGAAAUGGUUUUUGCACAUUGAUACAUCUUCAUAUUGGAUGCCUAUGAAACAUAUGUUGGCUGCCUCUGCGGGAGAAGUGGUUGCCUGCCUGAUUCGAGUGCCUUCUGAAGUGGUUAAGCAGAGGGCUCAGGUAUCUGCUUCUGCAAGAACAUUUCACAUUUUCUCUAACAUCUUAUAUGAAGAGGGCAUCCAAGGAUUAUAUCGAGGCUAUAAAAGCACAGUUUUAAGAGAGAUUCCUUUUUCACUGGUCCAGUUUCCCUUGUGGGAGUAUUUAAAGGCCCUCUGGUCCUGGCGGCAGGAUCAUGUGGUGGAUUCUUGGCAGUCAGCAGUGUGUGGAGCUUUCGCAGGUGGUUUUGCAGCUGUAAUCACCACACCUUUGGAUGUGGCAAAGACAAGAAUUAUGUUGGCAAAGGCCGGGUCCAGCACCGCAGGUGGGAACGUGAUCUCUGCCUUGCAAGGGGUCUGGAGGUCACAGGGGCUGACAGGGUGCUGGUGCUGCAUGUGAAGAGCAGUAGCCAGGGGACAGGAGGGGACUGCGAGGGCCGCAGGGACGUCCUUCUGCUUCCCCACUGGCUGCCCCAUGACCCCAGAUGCACAGCUCCUGGUGGCAUCUGAGCCUUUUCAGUUUUCUGCUCUAGCUUUGCCCUGAAUGGACUUUUUCAUUAGUCUGCCCAUUAGCUGUGACUUUAGACAUGGUUUCUACUUAGAGAGCACCCUUCUGGUGAGGUGUCAGACAUGAUGAAAAUGUGGAUGGGACAGGUCUCCUGCCCUGGCCUCCACAGAAAGCAGGUUAUUCGCAGGUGUCAUCCCCCGAAUGGCAGCCAUCAGCCUGGGAGGGUUCAUCUUUCUGGGUGCUUAUGACCAAGCCCGCAGCGUGCUGUUGAGAGUGGGCAGGAGGAGUGGGUGAGGCAGAGGUGCAUCCGUGCUGCCUGGGGAAAGGGGGCUGUGCUAAGACCCCGCCUCCCCCGCGUCGUCACUCCGUCCUCAACAGCGUCCUCAACAGCGUAACCGGGCUGCAGCCCAGGCUGCACGGACUGCAACCUUGAGAAACAUCAGCCACAGGCAGCCUGGAGUCGGGUCGUCACCUGCAGGGGCCAGAAGGAAACCGUGUCCAUGGUAACAGUGUGAACAUUCUCCUCAGAAUCUCAAUAAAUGAGUGUGGUGAUGCCGAGGCCUAGCUCUUCAGAGCUUUCGUUCAAUCAGAUCUUUCAUUUCCUGCCACCUGAUGGUGAAUGCAGCAAAAACAAGGGAUAGCUAAGGAAAGGGAAGGGAGUUAGGGCAAAAUGCUUUGUGUGACUGUUGCUCCCCUGGGUAAAUUCCUGUUGUGUAAGGUUUCAGCUUUGUUUAAAAAAAAUGAACUACAGGUGCAUAGCAUGCAUUCUUUCUGGAA